UAAUAUUUUUAACUUAUUUUUGCUUUUGGAUUUUACAGCCGUUAUAUGAAACACUUAUUUCUUGUUCUCAUCAGCUCAUUGGAAUUGUAUGAUUCACAUUCUCAGUAUUUUCAGGGAUCUGUAAAGUGCCAAAAAUUUUGGGCUGUUUAAUAGUGUCUAACUUGGUAUGCUUCCAUAAAAUGGUCCCACUAAUGCCGGUGACAUACUGACAUGCUUGGUUUAUUUUGUG
Molecule: long non-coding RNA, 229 nt
Filed under: Olea europaea (common olive)
Lineage: Eukaryota; Viridiplantae; Streptophyta; Magnoliopsida; Lamiales; Oleaceae
Description: long non-coding RNA (OEUR_LNC002264)
Source: RNAcentral